AUCCAGUUGACAAGUCCCAAAUAGGACGAAACGCGUGUCCUGGAU
Schistosoma haematobium is the source of this 45-nucleotide non-coding RNA. Lineage: Eukaryota; Metazoa; Platyhelminthes; Trematoda; Strigeidida; Schistosomatidae. The record is from Rfam.